UCCAGACUCCUACGGGAGGCAGCAGUGGGGAAUAUUGCACAAUGGGGGGAACCCUGAUGCAGCGACGCCGCGUGGGUGAAGGAGCGUUUCGGCGCGUAAAGCCCUAUCGGCAGGGAAGAAGGAGGACGGUACCUGACUAAGAAGCCCCGGCUAACUACGUGCCAGCAGCCGCGGUAAUACGUAGGGGGCAAGCGUUAUCCGGAUUUACUGGGUGUAAAGGGGGCGCAGACGGCAGCGCAAGCCAGGAGUGAAAGCCCGGGGCCCAACCCCGGGGCUGCUCUUGGAACUGCGCGGCUGGAGUGCAGGAGGGGCAGGCGGAAUUCCUGGUGUAGCGGUGAAAUGCGUAGAUAUCAGGAGGAACACCGGUGGCGAAGGCGGCCUGCUGGACUGCGACUGACGUUGAGGCCCGAAAGCGUGGGGAGCAAACAGGAUUAGAUACCCUGGUA
RNAcentral lists this ribosomal RNA (446 nucleotides) under uncultured bacterium. RNAcentral's name for it is "bacterial SSU rRNA". It matches the Rfam family "Bacterial small subunit ribosomal RNA", at positions 330 to 792 of the family's 1533-position model. The record is from RNAcentral.